UACUUAGUGUUUAAUGCUCUGAUAAUUUGCUAUUAGAUUCUCUAUCUAUCACUGUCAAUCUAUCUACCACUGCUAAUUUAUACCACUGUCAAUUUAUCUAUUGCUGCUAAUCUAUUACUGUUGUUAAUCUAUCUACUACUGUCAAUCUAUCUAUUAUUGUCAAUCUAUCUACCACUGUUAAUGUAUCACUGCUAAUCUAUUACUGUUAAUCUAUUGCUGCUAAUCUAUCUAUUACUGUUAAUCUAUUACUGUCAAUCUAUCUACUGCUAUCAAUCUAUCUAUCACUGUUAAUUUAUCUAUUGCUGUCAAUCUAUCUACCACUGCUAAUCUAUUACUGCUAAUCUAUUGCUAUUAAUCUAUUGCUGUUAAUCUAUUACUGUUAAUCUAUCUAUCACUGCUAAUCUAUUACUAUCAAUCUAUCUAUUACUGUCAAUCUAUCUAUCACUGUCAAUCUAUCUAUCACUGCUAAUCUAUCACUGCUAAUCUAUUACUGCUAAUCUAUUACUAUCAAUCUAUCUACUACUGUCAAUCUAUCUACUGCUAUCAAUCUAUCUAUAACUGCUAAUCUAUUGCUGCUAAUCUAUCACUGCUAAUCUAUUACUGUCAAUCUAUCUACCACUGUUAAUCUAUCUAUCACUGCUAAUCUAUCACUGCUAAUCUAUCACUGUUAAUCUAUUGCUGCUAAUCUAUCUAUUACUGUUAAUCUAUUACUAUCAAUCUAUCUACUGCUGUUAAUCUAUCUAUCACUGCUAAUCUAUCACUGCUAAUCUAUCACUGCUAAUCUAUUACUAUCAAUCUAUCUACUACUGUCAAUCUAUCUACUGCUAUCAAUCUAUCUAUAACUGCUAAUCUAUUGCUGCUAAUCUAUCACUGCUAAUCUAUUACUGUCAAUCUAUCUACCACUGUUAAUCUAUCUAUCACUGCUAAUCUAUUGCUGCUAAUCUAUCACUGUUAAUCUAUUGCUGCUAAUCUAUCUAUUACUGUUAAUCUAUUACUGUUAAUCUAUCUACUGCUAUCAAUCUAUCUAUCACUGUCAAUUUAUCUAUUGCUGUC
Molecule: small RNA, 1053 nt
Filed under: Histoplasma capsulatum
Lineage: Eukaryota; Fungi; Ascomycota; Eurotiomycetes; Onygenales; Ajellomycetaceae
Also listed under: 1 other name
Description: hypothetical RNA
Source: RNAcentral